RNAcentral lists this ribosomal RNA (610 nucleotides) under uncultured Enterococcus sp. RNAcentral describes it as "bacterial SSU rRNA". It matches the Rfam family "Bacterial small subunit ribosomal RNA", at positions 295 to 894 of the family's 1533-position model. Lineage: Bacteria; Bacillati; Bacillota; Bacilli; Lactobacillales; Enterococcaceae. The record is from RNAcentral.
AGGGGUGAUCGGGCCACAUUUGGGACUGAGACACGGGCCCAAACUCCUACGGGAGGCAGCAGUAGGGAAUCUUCGGCAAUGGACGAAAGUCUGACCGAGCAACGCCGCGUGAGUGAAGAAGGUUUUCGGAUCGUAAAACUCUGUUGUUAGAGAAGAACAAGGAUGAGAGUAACUGUUCAUCCCUUGACGGUAUCUAACCAGAAAGCCACGGCUAACUACGUGCCAGCAGCCGCGGUAAUACGUAGGUGGCAAGCGUUGUCCGGAUUUAUUGGGCGUAAAGCGAGCGCAGGCGGUUUCUUAAGUCUGAUGUGAAAGCCCCCGGCUCAACCGGGGAGGGUCAUUGGAAACUGGGAGACUUGAGUGCAGAAGAGGAGAGUGGAAUUCCAUGUGUAGCGGUGAAAUGCGUAGAUAUAUGGAGGAACACCAGUGGCGAAGGCGGCUCUCUGGUCUGUAACUGACGCUGAGGCUCGAAAGCGUGGGGAGCAAACAGGAUUAGAUACCCUGGUAGUCCACGCCGUAAACGAUGAGUGCUAAGUGUUGGAGGGUUUCCGCCCUUCAGUGCUGCAGCUAACGCAUUAAGCACUCCGCCUGGGGAGUACGACCGCAAGGU